This 201-nucleotide ribosomal RNA is filed under the name uncultured bacterium. RNAcentral's name for it is "partial 16S ribosomal RNA". It matches the Rfam family "Bacterial small subunit ribosomal RNA", at positions 524 to 725 of the family's 1533-position model. The record is from RNAcentral.
GACAGAGGGUGCAAACGUUGUUCGGAAUUACUGGGCGUAAAGCGCGUGUAGGCGGCCAUCUAAGUCGGGCGUGAAAUCCCACGCUCAACCGUGGAAGUGCACUCGAAACUGGAUGGCUAGAGUCCUGGAGAGGAAGGUGGAAUGCUUGGUGUAGAGGUGAAAUUCGUAGAUAUCAAGCGGAACACCGGUGGCGAAGGCGGC